AAGUCGUAACAAGGUUUCCGUAGGUGAACCUGCGGAAGGAUCAUUACACAUAUUACGGGGGGUCGGUCACCUAGAGCGUCGCCUCUCAGCAACCUCUGGGCCCUGCCCUGUCUGAAUAUUCUACCCAUGUCUUUUGCGCACUCUUCGUUUCCUCGGUGGGCUUGCCUGCCGAUAGGACACUAUAAAACCUUUUUGUAAUUGCAAUCAGCGUCAGAAAAACUUUUAAUAGUUACAACUUUCAACAACGGAUCUCUUGGUUCUG
RNAcentral lists this unclassified non-coding RNA (262 nucleotides) under air metagenome. Its description in RNAcentral is "partial contains small subunit ribosomal RNA, internal transcribed spacer 1, and 5.8S ribosomal RNA". The stretch from base 1 to 46 matches the Rfam family "Eukaryotic small subunit ribosomal RNA", at positions 1786 to 1831 of the family's 1831-position model. The record is from RNAcentral.